UACGUAGGUGGCAAGCGUUGUCCGGAUUUAUUGGGUUUAAAGGGUGCGUAGGCGGUCCUAUAAGUCAGUGCUGAAAUAUCCCGGCUUAACCUGGAGGGUGGCAUUGAUACUGCAGGACUUGAGUGAAGUCGAGGUAGGCGGAAUUGACGGUGUAGCGGUGAAAUGCUUAGAUAUCGUCAAGAACACCGAUAGUGAAGACAGCUUACUAGACUUCAACUGACGCUGAGGCACGAAAGUGUGGGGAUCAAACAGG
Molecule: ribosomal RNA, 253 nt
Filed under: uncultured bacterium
Lineage: Bacteria
Description: partial 16S ribosomal RNA
Rfam family: Bacterial small subunit ribosomal RNA
Source: RNAcentral